CUCAUUGUGCCAGGAAACCAAGGUCCACAGAGGCUAAAGCUUUGCCAAGGUUACAGUAUUGUAAGAAAAUAGAAGAGUGUGAUUUACAGUUGGUGUGGCCCUAUGGGUGUGGACCCAGACUUCAAGCACAGAUUAAGAUCAUACACUGAUUUACCACAUCAGAUAGGCUGUAUGAAACCUUAGGAUAGUAUUUCUCUCCUACUGGUGGAAGCAAGAAGAAUUGAAGAACAAGGCAAAAACUCUGACAGGAAACUAAAGUGCUUAUAUGUUGCUGUCUCAUUAAUAUUGACCUUUAUUGGAGAUCAGAUUACUUUCCAGAAGUUUUAUAAUAUCACAUAAGUUACUUGAGGACUUCUGAAGAAAUGUCUUAGGUCUUUCUGCUUCUAGAAUAGAUUAUAAGAGCUUGAACAAAAAAUGUGUAAAUUUGCUGUCCGUUUUAUUGGUGGGAAAAGUGUGCUUUUUAAUAGGCCUUUAUGUAUUUAAUGUUCUUAAGUAGCAUAUCCAAAACUUUAUUUCAGGAUAUUAGAAUCCACUUAAUUUGGGGCUGGCAAUGUGGAGAAAAUUGUGAUAAUUUAUCUGCCAAAGAUUUCUGCAAGCAUGUAUUUUGGGAAAAGUAGCCCUAAAAGUAAUAGACACAUUUCAGUAUUUAAUGCUUUUUCUCAUCACCAACACUUAGAAUGAAAGCAUGUCUUCUCUUUUCCUGGUCAUUUAAAGAGGCAUACAAAGUAGUAAAAACAGGUCAUAGAAUGAUAGACACUCAUUAUGAGAUCUGUUCUCAGUCUUGCUGCUAGUUAACUGUGGCCUUAAGUCAGUCACUUACAACCCCUUGCAUAUCAUAGAUUAUUCAUCAUUAUAAGGGGAGAUAAGAGUGCAGGACUUCUAAGAAGGCCUUUUCCAGUUCAUAUACUUCAGACAUGUAAUUCUGAUUCUAUGUGUGGUUACAGAUUGUUUAGCUAAUUUUAAAAUACAAGCAAAAGGAUUGCAUGUCUAUUUGUAGAUGUACAAAGGAACCAUUUAUAGAAGGAGAUUGUGGACAGUGUUCUAGUGUAGGCGCCAGACUCUAAAAGUACAUAAGAAACUAACUUUGGGAGGGGCACUGGGAGUGUGGAUUCAGAGAAAUCUUAACAUGGAUAUUAGUGAAGUCAAGCUCACAUUGGAGGACUUUCAUCUUCUCAGUGAACUGGGAAACAAGGUUAUUGACUGACUGUAAAGGUUCUGGGGUAGGUUUGAAAUUUACAGAGAGUAGAAAAUACUUAUAUCAGCCAUAGUGACAAAUUUUCUAGGGACUCAUGUAUAAACAAAGAGAACAAGUAGGUGUGGCUGGAAAGAUGACCAAAUAGGAACAGCUCUGAUCUGCAGCUCCCAGCAAGAUCAACACAGAAG
Molecule: long non-coding RNA, 1383 nt
Organism: Cercocebus atys (sooty mangabey)
Lineage: Eukaryota; Metazoa; Chordata; Mammalia; Primates; Cercopithecidae
Exons: 3
Source: RefSeq, a predicted model, not a curated record